UACGGGGGGGGCAAGCGUUGUUCGGAAUUACUGGUCGUAAAGGGCUCGUAGGCGGCCAACUAAGUCGGAUGUGAAAUCCCCAGGCUUAACUUGGGAACUGCAUCCGAUACUGGAUGGCUUGAAUCCGGGAGAGGGAUGCGGAAUUCCAGGUGUAGCGGUGAAAUGCGUAGAUAUCUGGAGGAACACCGGUGGCGAAGGCGGCAUCCUGGACCGGCAUUGACGCUGAUGAGCGAAAGCCAGGGGAGCAAACGGG
This 253-nucleotide ribosomal RNA is filed under the name uncultured bacterium. RNAcentral describes it as "partial 16S ribosomal RNA". It matches the Rfam family "Bacterial small subunit ribosomal RNA", at positions 524 to 776 of the family's 1533-position model. The record is from RNAcentral.